Molecule: non-coding RNA, 89 nt
Organism: Ciborinia camelliae
Lineage: Eukaryota; Fungi; Ascomycota; Leotiomycetes; Helotiales; Sclerotiniaceae
Source: the annotation of a GenBank genome assembly
GGCCUGAUAGUUCAGUGGUAGAAUUCUUGCUUUGGGUUGUUUCAGAUCUAAAUUGUAAGAGGUCUCCGGUUCGAUCCCGGAUUAGGCCC